RNAcentral lists this ribosomal RNA (1100 nucleotides) under uncultured prokaryote. RNAcentral's name for it is "bacterial SSU rRNA". It matches the Rfam family "Bacterial small subunit ribosomal RNA", at positions 238 to 1367 of the family's 1533-position model. The record is from RNAcentral.
CCAUCAGCUAGUUGGUGAGGUAAUGGCCCACCAAGGCGACGACGGGUAAGGGACCUGAGAGGGUGGUCCCUCACAAUGGCACUGAAACACGGGCCAUACACCUACGGGUGGCAGCAGUAGGGAAUAUUGGGCAAUGGGCGAAAGCCUGACCCAGCAACGCCGCGUGUACGAUGAAGGCCUUCGGGUCGUAAAGUACUUUUCUGGGAGAUGAGAAAGGACAGUAUCCCAGGAAUAAGCUUCGGCUAACUACGUGCCAGCAGCCGCGGUAAAACGUAGGAAGCGAGCGUUAUCCGGAUUUACUGGGCGUAAAGCGCGUGUAGGCGGUUUGAUAAGUUGGAUGUGAAAUCUCCUGGCUCAACUGGGAGGGGUCGUUCAAAACUAUCAGACUUGAGGACAGUAGAGGAAGGUGGAAUUCCCGGUGUAGUGGUGAAAUGCGUAGAUAUCGGGAGGAACACCAGUGGCGAAAGCGGCCUUCUGGACUGUAUCUGACGCUCAGACGCGAAAGCUAGGGGAGCGAACGGGAUUAGAGACCCCGGUAGUCCUAGCCGUAAACGAUGUAGACUUGGCGUCGGUGGGUUCAAAGCCAUCGGUGCCGAAGCUAACGCGAUAAGUCUACCGCCUGGGGACUACGGCCGCAAGGUUAAAACUCAAAGGAAUUGACGGGGGCCCGCACAAGCAGCGGAGCGUGUGGUUUAAUUCGAUGCUACACGAAGAACCUUACCCAGGUUUGACAUGGAGGUGGUAGGAAACCGAAAGGUGACCGACCCUUCGGGGAGCCUUCACAGGUGCUGCAUGGCUGUCGUCAGCUCGUGUCGUGAGAUGUUCGGUUAAGUCCGCUAACGAGCGCAACCCUCGCUGUAUGUUACAAGUGUCAUACGGGACCGCCGGUAUCAAGCCGGAGGAAGGUGGGGAUGACGUCAAGUCAGCAUGGCCUUUAUAUCUGGGGCUACACACACGCUACAAUGGCCGGUACAAUGGGUUGCUAAGCCGCGAGGUAGAGCCAAUCCCCAAAGCCGGCCUCAGUUCAGAUCGUAGGCUGCAACUCGCCUGCGUGAAGUCGGAGUUGCUAGUAAACGCGCGUCAGCUAUAGUGCGUUGAAU